CCUACGGGAGUCAGCAGUGAGGAAUAUUGGUCAAUGGACGCAAGUCUGAACCAGCCAUGCCGCGUGCAGGAAGACGGCUCUAUGAGUUGUAAACUGCUUUUGUACGAGGGUAAACGCAGAUACGCGUAUCUGUCUGAAAGUAUCUUACGAAUAAGGAUCGGCUAACUCCGUGCCAGCAGCCGCGGUAAUACGGAGGAUUCAAGCGUUAUCCGGAUUUAUUGGGUUUAAAGGGUGCGUAGGCGGUCGGAUAAGUUAGAGGUGAAAUUCCGAGGCUCAACUUCGGAAUUGCCUCUGAUACUGUUCGGCUAGAGAGUAGUUGAGGUAGGCGGAAUGUAUGGUGUAGCGGUGAAAUGCUUAGAGAUCAUACAGAACACCGAUUGCGAAGGCAGCUUACCAAGCUACUUCUGACGUUGAGGUACGAAAGCGUGGGGAGCAAACAGGAUUAGAUACCCCGGUAGUC
This 460-nucleotide ribosomal RNA is filed under the name uncultured bacterium. RNAcentral describes it as "partial 16S ribosomal RNA". It matches the Rfam family "Bacterial small subunit ribosomal RNA", at positions 338 to 795 of the family's 1533-position model. The record is from RNAcentral.